GGUAUGCGUUUAAGGUGCGCUGGCAAAGCGCCGAGCGAACGCAGUCUUGGCUGUCGAAGCGGAUGAUACUGACCAUCCCAUCCUCGGUGAAGCGUUGCAGCGCAUCUUCGAGGCCGGAUUUCACUCCGCGAGGCAAAUCACAUUGGGUAAUGUCGCCGUUAACCACCACGGUGACGUUUUCCCCCAGACGGGUG
This is a non-coding RNA of Hafnia alvei FB1, 194 nucleotides long. It matches the Rfam family "Yersinia sRNA 251". Rfam says of the family: Antisense to phoH gene. The record is from Rfam. Lineage: Bacteria; Pseudomonadati; Pseudomonadota; Gammaproteobacteria; Enterobacterales; Hafniaceae.